AUCCAGCUGACGAGUCCCAAAUAGGACGAGACGUGUGUCGUGGGU
Non-coding RNA from Schistosoma mansoni, 45 nucleotides. The record is from Rfam. Lineage: Eukaryota; Metazoa; Platyhelminthes; Trematoda; Strigeidida; Schistosomatidae.